Molecule: ribosomal RNA, 681 nt
Filed under: uncultured Staphylococcus sp.
Lineage: Bacteria; Bacillati; Bacillota; Bacilli; Caryophanales; Staphylococcaceae
Description: bacterial SSU rRNA
Rfam family: Bacterial small subunit ribosomal RNA
Source: RNAcentral
UGAAAGACGGUUUUGCUGUCACUUAUAGAUAGAUCCGCGCCGCAUUAGCUAGUUGGUAAGGUAACGGCUUACCAAGGCAACGAUGCGUAGCCGACCAGAGAGGGUGAUCGGCCACACUGGAACUGAGACACGGUCCAGACUCUUACGGGAGGCAGCAGUAGGGAAUCUUCCGCAAUGGGCGAAAGCCUGACGGAGCAACGCCGCGUGAGUGAAGAAGGUCUUCGGAUCGUAAAACUCUGUUAUUAGGGAAGAACAAAUGUGUAAGUAACUAUGCACGUCUUGACGGUACCUAAUCAGAAAGCCACGGCUAAAUACGUGCCAGCAGCCGCGGUAAUACGUAGGUGGCAAGCGUUAUCCGGAAUUAUUGGGCGUAAAGCGCGCGUAGGCGGUUUUUUAAGUCUGAUGUGAAAGCCCACGGCUCAACCGUGGAGGGUCAUUGGAAACUGGAAAACUUGAGUGCAGAAGAGGAAAGUGGAAUUCCAUGUGUAGCGGUGAAAUGCGCAGAGAUAUGGAGGAACACCAGUGGCGAAGGCGACUUUUUGGUCUGUAACUGACGCUGAUGUGCGAAAGCGUGGGGAUCAAACAGGAUUAGAUACCCUGGUAGUCCACCCCGUAAACGAUGAGUGCUAAGUGUUAGGGGGUUUCCGCCCCUUAGUGCUGCAGCUAAGCGCAUUAAGCACU